GCCUUAGGCCAAACUACGCCAGCCGGUGGAUAACUCGGCUUGGGGGCCGAAGAAGGGCGCGGCAAGCUGCGAAAAGCCCCGGGUAGCCGCAAGCAGGCGUUGAACCGGGGAUGCCCGAAUGGGAUUUCCCGACAUCCCGCGCUUCGGCGUGGGAUGUCGCUCCACUGCCUCGAGCUGUGGAGCGGGAACCGGCCGAACGGAAGCAUCCAAGUAGGCCGAGGAAAAGAAAUCAAAACGAGACUCCCCUAGUAACGGCGAGUGAACGGGGACCAGGCCAAACCGAACCCGCAUGGGAAACCAUGUGGGGAUGUGGAGUGUGGGCCAGCCGCCCUCCUGUGCCCAGCGACCCGAAGCGACCUGGAAGGGUCCGCCAUAGAGGGUGACAGCCCCGUAGGGGAAGCUGGGAGUGGAGAUGGGCUGGUUCCCGAGUACCGCACCUCGGAUAUGGUGCGGGAAGGCAGGAGCCACUGGCUUCUAAGCCUAAGUACCUCCCAAGACCGAUAGCGCAACAGUACCGUGAGGGAAAGUUGAAAACUACCCCGAGAGGGGGGUGAAAAGCGGUUGAAACCGGCUGGUAACGGACGAGGGCGGCGCGCAAGGUACUCCGUCCGAACACAUCGCGUAGAUGUGGAGGGCGGAUUAUCCGGCGUCGUCCGCUCCGUCUUGAAACACGGGCCGGGGAGUUCACCGUCGUGGCGAGCUUAACCGCGGAAAGCGGGUAGGCGCGGGGAAACCGAGCAGCCCGCAGCCGACUCUCGUCGGCGAGGGGCCGGGUCCGACCAGGGCCCGUAGUCCCGGCGGUGAGGCUAGAAACCGGGCGAUCUAGCCCUGGGUAGGGUGAAGCCGGGCGAAAGCUCGGUCGAGGCCCGAACGCGUCCUGACGUGCAAUUCGGUGCGUUGACCUGGGGCUAGGGGCUAAAAACCAAUCUAGCCCGGUGAUAGCUAGUUCCCCCCGAAGUGUCUCGCAGGACAGCCUCGGCGGAGGUGGUCCGCGGGGUAGAGCACCGAUGGGGUGGUAAGGGCUCGAAAGGGCCCGCCAUCCUUUCGAACUCCGAAUCCGCGGACGCCGUAGAUGCCGGGAGUGGGGUGUGCGGGGUAAGCUCGCACGCCGAGAGGGGAACAACCCAGACCGCGGGUUAAGGCCCCAAAGUGCCCGCUAAGUGACAAACCAAAGGGCGUCUCCCUCCUAAGACAGCGGGGCCGUAGGCUUAGAAGCAGCCAUCGGCUAAGAAGUGCGUAACAGCUUACCCGCCGAGGAGGGGGGCCCCGAAAAUUGACGGGUCUAAGCGGGCCGCCGAAACCCGGGUUCACCCAGCCGAUGCUGGGUGGAGGUAGGGGGGCGUGGCGGUUGGGCGGAAGCAGGGCCGUGAGGUCCUGUGGACCGGCCGCCAAUGUAGAUCCCGGUGGUAGUAACAGCGGAGCGGGGUGAGAAUCCCCGCCGCCGAAGGGGCAAGGGUCUCCCGGCAACGCGUCGUCGGCCGGGAGUAAGCCGGUCCUAAGCCCGACCUUAACCGGGUAGGGCGAAAGGGAAACCGGUUAAUAUUCCGGUGCCUCCGGAGUACGUGCGGCGACGCAAGGCCGGUGUCUGACGCUUCGGGGUAGGCUGAGCGGGGCCGUAGCCCUGUCUAAACGCAUAAGCCUGGGGAGUGGCGUAAAGCCGAGAACCAGGUGAAAGCGUGAACGGCCGCCCGUAUGGGCGGUUCAGCUGAUCCCUGGAGCCCAUGAAAAAGACAUCGGCAAGGAUCUCCGGAGACCGUGCCAAGAACCGACACAGGUGCCCCUGGGUGAGAAGCCCAAGGCGUCUGGGGUCACUCCAGGGCGAGGGAACUCGGCAAAUUAGCCCCGUAACUUCGGGAGAAGGGGUGCCUGAGGCCUUGGCCGCGAGGCUGGGGCCUUAGGUCGCAGUGACUAGGGGGUCCUGACAGUUUAAUAAAAACCUAGGUAGCCGCAAGACCGAAAGGUUUUGAACGGCUAUCGAAUCCUGGCCAGUGCGGGUACUCGAAAACCGGGUUCAACCGGUAUAAGGGCCCGUAAACGCCGGGAGUAACUCUGACUCUCUUAAGGUAGCCAAAUGCCUUGUCGGGUAAGUUCCGACGUGCAUGAAUGGAUCAACGAGGGCCCCACUGUCCCCGCCUGGAGCCCCGUGAACCCACGUAACGUGGGCGAACAGUCCACGAACUCCCAACGGGGAAAGAAGACCCUGUGGAGCUUUACUGCAGCCUGUCGCUGGGAUGUGGACGGAUGUGCAGAGCGUAGCCGGGAGCCGUCGAUCCCCGUCUCUCCGGGGGCGGGGGGAGGCGACAAUGUAACACCGGCCACGUCUGUCUGCAUCUCUCACCGGCGCGAGAGCGCUGGAACAACGGCAGGUGGGCAGUUUGGCUGGGGCGGCACCCCCUCGAAAAGAUAUCGAGGGGGCCCAAAGGUCGGCUUAGGCGGGACAGAAACCCGCCGUGAAGUGCAAGGGCAAAAGCCGGCUUGACAGGGCCCUUGAAAGCCAGGGGCCCUGAGGGGAAACCCAGGCCUAGCGAUCCAUCGGCUCCUACCAGUGGGGGCCGGUGGUGACAGAAAAGUUACCCCAGGGAUAACAGGCUCGUCGCGGGCGAGAGUCCCCAUCGACCCCGCGGCUUGGUACCUCGAUGUCGGCUCUUCCCAACCUGGCCGUGCAGAAGCGGCCAAGGGUGCGGCUGUUCGCCGAUUAAAGGGGAACGUGAGCUGGGUUUAGACCGUCGUGAGACAGAUCGGAUUUUACCUGUUGGGAGUGCUGGCUGCCUGAGGGGAAGGUGCUCCCAGUACGAGAGGAACGGAGCGCCGGGGCCAACGGUGUACCGGUUGUCCUACAGGGCAGUGCCGGGCAGCUGCGCCCCCGCGGAUAAGGGCUGAAAGCAUCUAAGCCCGAAGCCGCUCCCGAAAAUAGGCAGCCACUCGCCGGGUAAGGGCUCGGCAACGGGCCUAUACCGGCGACGAGGGUUCCCGUAGAAGACGGGUUUGAUGGGGCGGGGGUGUACGGAUGGAGGCUUCGGCCGAACAUCCUCAGCCCGCCGCUCCCAACCGCCCGAGUGGCCUAAGGU
This 3068-nucleotide ribosomal RNA is filed under the name Candidatus Caldarchaeales archaeon. Its description in RNAcentral is "23S ribosomal RNA". It matches the Rfam family "Archaeal large subunit ribosomal RNA". The record is from RNAcentral. Lineage: Archaea; Thermoproteati; Nitrososphaerota; Candidatus Caldarchaeales.